AACGAACGCUGGCGGCAUGCCUAACACAUGCAAGUCGAACGAGACCUUCGGGUCUAGUGGCGCACGGGUGCGGAACGCGGGGGAACCUGCCCUUAGGUUCGGAAUAACUACUCGAAAGGGGUGCUAAUACCGGAGAAUGUCUUAGGACCAAAGAUUUAUCGCCAUUGGAUGGGCCCGCGUUGGAUUAGCUAGUUGGUAGAGUAAAAGCAUACCAAGGCGACGAUCCGUAGCUGGUCUGAGAGGAAGAUCAGACACACUGGGGCGGAGACACGGCCCAGAAUCUUACGAGAGGAAGGAGUGGGGAAUGGUGGACAAGGGGCGGAAGACUGAGGAAGCAACGCCGGGUGAGCAAUGCAGGCGUGAGGGUUGUAAUGCUCGUUUAACUGGGAAGAUAAUGACAGUACCGGGAGAAUAAGCCACGGCUAACUACGUG
This 433-nucleotide ribosomal RNA is filed under the name uncultured bacterium. Its description in RNAcentral is "partial 16S ribosomal RNA". It matches the Rfam family "Bacterial small subunit ribosomal RNA", at positions 29 to 507 of the family's 1533-position model. The record is from RNAcentral.